AUCUAUUCGGUGACAUCUAAUAAAAUUGAAACAAUACAAAGAAUAUUAACAUGACUCAUGCACAAGAUUACGCGCAUAAAUCGAAAAAUAUACUAUUGUU
Molecule: small nuclear RNA, 100 nt
Organism: Salvia hispanica
Lineage: Eukaryota; Viridiplantae; Streptophyta; Magnoliopsida; Lamiales; Lamiaceae
Source: RefSeq, a predicted model, not a curated record